AAAUUGAAGAGUUUGAUCAUGGCUCAGAUUGAACGCUGGCGGCAGGCCUAACACAUGCAAGUCGAGCGGUAACACAGGGAGCUUGCUCCCGGGUGACGAGCGGCGGACGGGUGAGUAAUGUCUGGGAAACUGCCUGGUGGAGGGGGAUAACUACUGGAAACGGUAGCUAAUACCGCAUAACGUCGCAAGACCAAAGAGGGGGACCUUCGGGCCUCUUGCCAUCAGAUGUGCCCAGAUGGGAUUAGCUAGUAGGUGGGGUAAUGGCUCACCUAGGCGACGAUCCCUAGCUGGUCUGAGAGGAUGACCAGCCACACUGGAACUGAGACACGGUCCAGACUCCUACGGGAGGCAGCAGUGGGGAAUAUUGCACAAUGGGCGCAAGCCUGAUGCAGCCAUGCCGCGUGUAUGAAGAAGGCCUUCGGGUUGUAAAGUACUUUCAGCGGGGAGGAAGGUGUUGAGGUUAAUAACCUCAGCAAUUGACGUUACCCGCAGAAGAAGCACCGGCUAACUCCGUGCCAGCAGCCGCGGUAAUACGGAGGGUGCAAGCGUUAAUCGGAAUUACUGGGCGUAAAGCGCACGCAGGCGGUCUGUCAAGUCGGAUGUGAAAUCCCCGGGCUCAACCUGGGAACUGCAUUCGAAACUGGCAGGCUAGAGUCUUGUAGAGGGGGUAGAAUUCAGGUGUAGCGGUGAAAUGCGUAGAGAUCUGGAGGAAUACCGGUGGCGAAGGCGGCCCCUGGACAAAGACUGACGCUCAGGUGCGAAAGCGUGGGGAGCAAACAGGAUUAGAUACCCUGGUAGUCCACGCCGUAAACGAUGUCGACUUGGAGGUUGUGCCCUUGAGGCGUGGCUUCCGGAGCUAACGCGUUAAGUCGACCGCCUGGGGAGUACGGCCGCAAGGUUAAAACUCAAAUGAAUUGACGGGGCCCGCACAAGCGGUGGAGCAUGUGGUUUAAUUCGAUGCAACGCGAAGAACCUUACCUACUCUUGACAUCCAGAGAACUUAGCAGAGAUGCUUUGGUGCCUUCGGGAACUCUGAGACAGGUGCUGCAUGGCUGUCGUCAGCUCGUGUUGUGAAAUGUUGGGUUAAGUCCCGCAACGAGCGCAACCCUUAUCCUUUGUUGCCAGCGGUUAGGCCGGGAACUCAAAGGAGACUGCCAGUGAUAAACUGGAGGAAGGUGGGGAUGACGUCAAGUCAUCAUGGCCCUUACGAGUAGGGCUACACACGUGCUACAAUGGCGCAUACAAAGAGAAGCGACCUCGCGAGAGCAAGCGGACCUCAUAAAGUGCGUCGUAGUCCGGAUUGAGUCUGCAACUCGACUCCAUGAAGUCGGAAUCGCUAGUAAUCGUAGAUCAGAAUGCUACGGUGAAUACGUUCCCGGGCCUUGUACACACCGCCCGUCACACCAUGGGAGUGGGUUGCAAAAGAAGUAGGUAGCUUAACCUUCGGGAGGGCGCUUACCACUUUGUGAUUCAUGACUGGGGUGAAGUCGUAACAAGGUAACCGUAGGGGAACCUGCGGUUGGAUCACCUCCUUA
This 1535-nucleotide ribosomal RNA is filed under the name Enterobacter mori. Its description in RNAcentral is "bacterial SSU rRNA". It matches the Rfam family "Bacterial small subunit ribosomal RNA". Lineage: Bacteria; Pseudomonadati; Pseudomonadota; Gammaproteobacteria; Enterobacterales; Enterobacteriaceae. The record is from RNAcentral.